AUUGAACGCUGGCGGAAUGCUUUACACAUGCAAGUCGAACGGCAGCACGGGAGCUUGCUCCUGGUGGCGAGUGGCGAACGGGUGAGUAAUACAUAGGAACGUAUCCUGUAGUGGGGGAUAACGCAGCGAAAGCUGUGCUAAUACCGCAUACGAUCUACGGAAGAAAGCGGGGGACCUGCAAGGGCCUCGCGCUAUUGGAGCGGCCUAUGUCUGAUUAGCUAGUUGGUGAGGUAAAGGCUCACCAAGGCGACGAUCAGUAGCUGGUCUGAGAGGAUGAUCAGCCACACUGGAACU
RNAcentral lists this ribosomal RNA (294 nucleotides) under uncultured bacterium. Its description in RNAcentral is "partial 16S ribosomal RNA". It matches the Rfam family "Bacterial small subunit ribosomal RNA", at positions 30 to 320 of the family's 1533-position model. The record is from RNAcentral.